AGCUCCGUGGUGUAUAGGCUCAUUGAAUUGCAAAUUCAAAGGUGCAGGCUAAUUACCUGCCGGGGCUU
This 68-nucleotide transfer RNA is filed under the name Psalidodon scabripinnis. RNAcentral's name for it is "tRNA-Cys". It matches the Rfam family "tRNA". Rfam says of the family: Transfer RNA (tRNA) molecules are approximately 80 nucleotides in length. The record is from RNAcentral. Lineage: Eukaryota; Metazoa; Chordata; Actinopteri; Characiformes; Acestrorhamphidae. RNAcentral also lists the same sequence under 10 other names.